RNAcentral lists this ribosomal RNA (468 nucleotides) under uncultured bacterium. RNAcentral's name for it is "partial 16S ribosomal RNA". It matches the Rfam family "Bacterial small subunit ribosomal RNA", at positions 28 to 507 of the family's 1533-position model. The record is from RNAcentral.
GACGAACGCUGGCGGCGUGCUUAACACAUGCAAGUCGAACGGAAAGGCCCUGCUUUUGUGGGGUGCUCGAGUGGCGAACGGGUGAGUAACACGUGAGUAACCUGCCCUUGACUUUGGGAUAACUUCAGGAAACUGGGGCUAAUACCGGAUAGGAGCUCCUGCUGCAUGGUGGGGGUUGGAAAGUUUCGGCGGUUGGGGAUGGACUCGCGGCUUAUCAGCUUGUUGGUGGGGUAGUGGCUUACCAAGGCUUUGACGGGUAGCCGGCCUGAGAGGGUGACCGGCCACAUUGGGACUGCGAUACGGCCCAGACUCCUACGGGAGGCAGCAGUGGGGAAUAUUGCACAAUGGGCGGAAGCCUGAUGCAGCAACGCCGUGUGCGGGAUGACGGCCUUCGGGUUGUAAACCGCUUUCGCCUGUGACGAAGCGUGAGUGACGGUAAUGGGUAAAGAAGCACCGGCUAACUACGUG